AGACCAGGACCAGAGUUAUAGUCAGGGCCUAUAGGGAGAAUAUAACUAGACCAGGACCAGAGUUAUAGUUAGGGUCUAUAGGGAGAAUAUAAAUAGACCAGAGUUAUAGAUAGGGCCUAUAGGGAGAAUAUAACUAGACCAGGGCCAGAGUUAUAGUUAGGGCCUAUAGGGAGAAUAUAACUAGACCAGAGUUAUAGUUAGGGUCUACAGGGAGAAUAAAACUAGACCAGGACCAGAGAUAUAGUUAGGGCCAAUGGUGAGAAUAUAACUAGACCAGGACCAGAGUUAUAGUUAGGGCCUAUAGGGAGGAUAUAACUACACCAGGACCAGAGUUAUAGUUAGGGCCUAUAGGGAGGAUAUAACUAGACCAGAGAUAUAGUUAGGGUCUAUAGGGAGAAUAUAACUAGACCAGAGUUAUAGUUAGGGCCUAUAGGGAGUAUAUAACUAGACCAGGACCAGAGUUAUAGUUAGGGUCUACAGGGAGAAUAUAACUAGACCAGGACCAGAGUUAUAGUUAGGGCCUAUAGGGAGGAUAUAACUAGACCAGAGUUACAGUUAGGGCCUAUAGGGAGGAUAUAACUAGACCAGAGUUACAGUUAGGGCCUAUAGGGAGGAUAUAACUGGACCAGGACCAGAGGUAUAGUUGGGGCCUAUAGGGAGAAUAUAACUAGACCAGGACCAGAGUUAUAGUUAGGGCCUAUAGGGAGAAUAUAACUAGACCAGGACCAGAGUUAUAGUUAGGGCCUAUGGGGAGAAUAUAACUAGACCAGGACCAGAGUUAUAAUUGGGGCCUAUAGGGAGAAUAUAACUG
RNAcentral lists this long non-coding RNA (811 nucleotides) under Salmo salar (Atlantic salmon). RNAcentral's name for it is "lncRNA (ENSSSAG00000104350.1)". Lineage: Eukaryota; Metazoa; Chordata; Actinopteri; Salmoniformes; Salmonidae. The record is from RNAcentral.